RNAcentral lists this ribosomal RNA (498 nucleotides) under uncultured bacterium. RNAcentral's name for it is "partial 16S ribosomal RNA". It matches the Rfam family "Bacterial small subunit ribosomal RNA", at positions 30 to 523 of the family's 1533-position model. The record is from RNAcentral.
AUUGAACGCUGGCGGCAUGCCUUACACAUGCAAGUCGAACGGUAACAGGUCUUCGGAUGCUGACGAGUGGCGAACGGGUGAGUAAUACAUCGGAACGUGCCUAGUAGUGGGGGAUAACUACUCGAAAGAGUGGCUAAUACCGCAUGAGAUCUACGGAUGAAAGCAGGGGAUCGCAAGACCUUGUGCUACUAGAGCGGCCGAUGGCAGAUUAGGUAGGUGGUGGGAUAAAAGCUUACCAAGCCGACGAUCCGUAGCUGGUCUGAGAGGACGAUCGGCCACACUGGGACUGAGACACGGCCCAGACUCCUACGGGAGGCAGCAGUGGGGAAUUUUGGACAAUGGGCGAAAGCCUGAUCCAGCAAUGCCGCGUGCAGGAUGAAGGCCUUCGGGUUGUAAACUGCUCUUGUACGGAACGAAAAGCCCCGGGUUAAUACCCUGGGGUCAUGACGGUACCGUAAGAAUAAGCACCGGCUAACUAGGUGCCAGCCGCCGCAGUAA